This 1845-nucleotide ribosomal RNA is filed under the name Salmonella enterica. RNAcentral's name for it is "partial 23S ribosomal RNA". It matches the Rfam family "Bacterial large subunit ribosomal RNA", at positions 1200 to 2925 of the family's 2925-position model. The record is from RNAcentral. Lineage: Bacteria; Pseudomonadati; Pseudomonadota; Gammaproteobacteria; Enterobacterales; Enterobacteriaceae.
CUGCGGCAGCGAACGUAUCACCCAAGACAACUUUACACAGUUGACGCCUGACGGAGCGAAGCGACGUCAAAGCGUUUUACAACGUCGAGUUGGCUUAGGGAUACGUUCGUUGGGUAGGGGAGCGUUCUGUAAGCCGUUGAAGGUGUGUCGUGAGGCAUGCUGGAGGUAUCAGAAGUGCGAAUGCUGACAUAAGUAACGAUAAAGCGGGUGAAAAGCCCGCUCGCCGGAAGACCAAGGGUUCCUGUCCAACGUUAAUCGGGGCAGGGUGAGUCGACCCCUAAGGCGAGGCCGAAAGGCGUAGUCGAUGGGAAACGGGUUAAUAUUCCCGUACUUGGUGUUACUGCGAAGGGGGGACGGAGAAGGCUAUGUUGGCCGGGCGACGGUUGUCCCGGUUUAAGCGUGUAGGUGUGUGUUCCAGGUAAAUCCGGUUCACUUUAACACUGAGGCGUGAUGACGAGGCACUACGGUGCUGAAGCAACAAAUGCCCUGCUUCCAGGAAAAGCCUCUAAGCCUCAGGUAACAUCAAAUCGUACCCCAAACCGACACAGGUGGUCAGGUAGAGAAUACCAAGGCGCUUGAGAGAACUCGGGUGAAGGAACUAGGCAAAAUGGUGCCGUAACUUCGGGAGAAGGCACGCUGACACGUAGGUGAAGUGGUUUACCCAUGGAGCUGAAGUCAGUCGAAGAUACCAGCUGGCUGCAACUGUUUAUUAAAAACACAGCACUGUGCAAACACGAAAGUGGACGUAUACGGUGUGACGCCUGCCCGGUGCCGGAAGGUUAAUUGAUGGGGUCAGCGCAAGCGAAGCUCCUGAUCGAAGCCCCGGUAAACGGCGGCCGUAACUAUAACGGUCCUAAGGUAGCGAAAUUCCUUGUCGGGUAAGUUCCGACCUGCACGAAUGGCGUAAUGAUGGCCAGGCUGUCUCCACCCGGGACUCAGUGAAAUUGAACUCGCUGUGAAGAUGCAGUGUACCCGCGGCAAGACGGAAAGACCCCGUGAACCUUUACUAUAGCUUGACACUGAACACUGGUCCUUGAUGUGCAGGAUAGGUGGGAGGCUUUGAAGUGUGGACGCCAGUCUGCAUGGAGCCAUCCUUGAAAUACCACCCUUUAAUGGCUGGUGUUCUAACGUGGGCCCGUGAACCGGGUUGCGGACAGUGUCUGGUGGGUAGUUUGACUGGGGCGGUCUCCUCCUAAAGAGUAACGGAGGAGCACGAAGGUUGGCUAAUCCUGGUCGGACAUCAGGAGGUUAGUGCAAUGGCAUAAGCCAGCUUGACUGCGAGCGUGACGGCGCGAGCAGGUGCGAAAGCAGGUCAUAGUGAUCCGGUGGUUCUGAAUGGAAGGGCCAUCGCUCAACGGAUAAAAGGUACUCCGGGGAUAACAGGCUGAUACCGCCCAAGAGUUCAUAUCGACGGCGGUGUUUGGCACCUCGAUGUCGGCUCAUCACAUCCUGGGGCUGAAGUAGGUCCCAAGGGUAUGGCUGUUCGCCAUUUAAAGUGGUACGCGAGCUGGGUUUAGAACGUCGUGAGACAGUUCGGUCCCUAUCUGCCGUGGGCGCUGGAAGAUUGAGGGGGGCUGCUCCUAGUACGAGAGGACCGGAGUGGACGCAUCACUGGUGUUCGGGUUGUCAUGCCAAUGGCACUGCCCGGUAGCUACAUGCGGAAGAGAUAAGUGCUGAAAGCAUCUAAGCACGAAACUUGCCCCGAGAUGAAUCUUCCCUGAGCCUUUAAGGCUCCUGAAGGAACGUUGAAGACGACGACGUUGAUAGGCCGGGUGUGUAAGCGCAGCGAUGCGUUGAGCUAACCGGUACUAAUGAACCGUGAGGCUUAACCUUACAACGCCGAAG